This 451-nucleotide ribosomal RNA is filed under the name uncultured bacterium. RNAcentral's name for it is "bacterial SSU rRNA". It matches the Rfam family "Bacterial small subunit ribosomal RNA", at positions 354 to 796 of the family's 1533-position model. The record is from RNAcentral.
GUCGAGGAUCUUUUGCAAUGCACGAAAGUGUGACAAAGCGACGCUGCGUGGAGGAUGAAGGCCUUCGGGUUGUAAACUCCUGUCGUCCGGGAACAAUGACGGGCGGGCUAAUAACCCGUCCGAGUGAGAGUACCGGAAGAGGAAGCCACGGCAAACUCUGUGCCAGCAGCCGCGGUAAUACAGAGGUGGCGAGCGUUGUUCGGAUUUACUGGGCGUAAAGGGUGCGUAGGCGGUUCCGUGUGUCGAACGUGAAAUCCCACCGCUCAACGGUGGAAUGGCAUUCGAAACUACGGGGCUAGGGUGCAGGCAGGGAGAGCGGAAUUCCUGGUGUAGCGGUGAAAUGCGUUGAGAUCAGGAAGAACACCGGUGGCGAAGGCGGCUCUCUGGUAUGUAACCGACGCUGAGGCACGAAAGCUGGGGGAGCAAACAGGAUUAGAUACCCGGGUAGUCC